AACGCACAUUGCGCCUGCCGGCAUCCCGGCAGGCAUGCCUGUUCGAGCGUCAUUUCAACCCUCAGGCUCCGCCUGGCGUUGGGGUCCUGCGCACCGCAGCCCCCUAAAGACAGCGGCGGGUGCGUCCCAGAAUCGAACGUAGUAGCUUCUUCUCGUUCGGGUUCGGGGCGUCCUCCGGCCGUAAAAGCUCUCCACAGUGGUUGACCUCGGAUCAGGUAGGAAUACCCGCUGAACUUAA
RNAcentral lists this unclassified non-coding RNA (238 nucleotides) under uncultured fungus. RNAcentral's name for it is "sequence contains ITS2". The record is from RNAcentral. Lineage: Eukaryota; Fungi.